Molecule: long non-coding RNA, 1304 nt
Organism: Drosophila miranda
Lineage: Eukaryota; Metazoa; Arthropoda; Insecta; Diptera; Drosophilidae
Exons: 4
Source: RefSeq, a predicted model, not a curated record
UUGUGUUUUUGCGGUUUCCCUUUGUAUUUAUGCACUGCACACAUCAACACACCAACACACACACACAUGAACACUGACAGACUGCCAUUGAGUAGAGUCAAAUGCAUGUGCAGAACAUUCCACAUCAUGUCAAGCGGAAAGGAGCUCCCUCUCCAGAUUCGUUUUAUGAAGGUUUAACAACUUUUUGAUACAAAUUUGGCUGCCUUACUGCUCGCCUGCAUGCCUAUGCCAGCCUGCAUCUGCGAGAUUUCGUUGAUUUUUGUAGUCCAAGGACACACAAGGAUUGUGGGCGUCAGUAUUUUUGCAGAUGUGAGAGUUUGAGGGGCUGUAAAACCUCGCCUUUUAUUGGUAAAGACAUUGAAAUUUGUGAUCAGUCAAAUAGUCAGUGCCCGAACGAAACCUAGCUGCCAGAUUCAUGAUUGUUUGACACUCUGGAAUAUUAAGUGCGACACUCGACUUGUGAAACAUCAAACCGAAAACCAUGAUUAAAAAAAAUUCAAUAGUGUCCGUUUAAAUCUAACUCAAGAGGAAUUUGCAGAAGAAAACGAAAGAAGACAUGCCCAUCUUGCAUAUUUUCGUAAAUGUAGACUUGAAUUGUGCCGCUUUCGAAUGCGAUUCCGCAAACGCCUACAAAUAUCUUCAUCUUCAUCAAAUAUCGGUUCAUUGGCAUAAGCUGCGCUGGUGCCAAGGUGAAAUUGAAAACUUUGACUCAUCCGACAGAGCCAUUGUAUUCGUUUCUCUAUGGAAAUACAAUCCAAUGAAAACAUUUCAUGGCGAAUACACAAAAUUAAAGCUAUGUAUAAGAUCUUUUUCGUUGGUGAUAAGGCAAUUGAACUAGAUAAGUGCUGUGCACUGAACGUGAGAUGAUAGAACGAUUGUAAAAUUGUUUAAAGCCGCUUUGGAUACAAUGCAUUCUGAUGACCAGAGCAGACAAAAGACCCGCUGGAGGCCAUGGAAGACAAUUCAAUGAUCCAACUAUCAAUGAAAUCCCACUGGUAUUUGUUGACGAGAAUGUGAAAUGUCGCGAUAUUCUUCUCAGGUGCCUCGAGAUGGUGGACAAUUGCAACGCGUGUACGAGAUUCUUCGGUUAUAUCGUGUCGUGGAGAGGAUGGCUAUCACUUCAAUAUAAAGAUGGUCAAUCCAACGACAGCUCUGGAGUUGUUGCUCUGAAUUGCUGCAUAAGAAUUAAGAGAUGCCUUAAGCAAAUCUUGUUAAUUUUUAGUAUUCACUUUCGAAAGCAUGUGAGUGGUUUUGUUUUUUUUUUUAGUGAAAAAUUAAACAAAAGGAUAUCUUUUUUAAAUAAA